GCAGGUACAGAGGGAUGCUACCGGGCGACCGGAUGCGGAUCUCGAAAGCCUGUCCCAGUUCGGACUGGAGUCUGCAACCCGACUCCACGAAGUUGGAUUCGCUAGUAAUCGCGCAUCAGCCAUGGCGCGGUGAAUACGUUCCCGGGCCUUGUACACACCGCCCGUCAAGCCAUGGGAGCCGGGGGCGCCUGAAGUCCGGGACCGCGAGGACCGGCCUAGGGCGAAACUGGUAACUGGGGCUAAGUCGUAACAAGGUACC
This 259-nucleotide ribosomal RNA is filed under the name uncultured bacterium. Its description in RNAcentral is "partial 16S ribosomal RNA". It matches the Rfam family "Bacterial small subunit ribosomal RNA", at positions 1233 to 1500 of the family's 1533-position model. The record is from RNAcentral.